CUGGCCACCCCUGACCACGCCCUGGCCCCGCCUUGGCCACCCCACGGCCGGAGAAUAAUUUUAAAAUAAAUUAUAUGUCUCGGAGAAUUUUGGUUCCGGCCGCUAGAUUUUAGUUCCGCCGAUUUGUUUCCCGGUGGGACCCAUUUUGCUGUAACACCCACAAGCUGUUUUCUCAACCUCUCUGAAACGAACGUGCCUCGUGUAGCAGCAACUGGUGGAGGAGUCAGUCGAAGUCAUGUCCACACAACCUACCCAUGAACCAGGGCCGUGAGAUUUGGAGUCAUUGAUCCAGUAACACAACCCACUCAAGGCACUUCGCAAGAUGCCAACAGACGAGGCAGCCGAACACCAACCCUGGGUUCAGUGGGCCCCCUGCAGACAUAUCCAGAUCAAGAUCAGACCCACCUACCCAACCCCAGCUGAAAGAGUACCCAAGAACAGCCUUCGGUGCAAGACAAAGAAAUUUCAGUCCUUCGUGGUAUGGUCUGUACACAUGGAUUGAAUACUCCCAGUCCAAGGACGCUGUUUAUUGUUACGCCUGUAGGCACUUUAGCCUUCCCAACGUAGACACUACUUUCACAGUACUUUCUUUUUACUGCAGAAAGCACCUUUAUGUUAAAAAAGUAUGUUACAAUUUCACUUAAAGUCUAUCUCAAACAAGAGCUCAGAACUCAAGAGAUUUAGUUUCAACAGUACAUAUGAUGGACAAUAACAUGUAGAAAGUGUUAACAUGUGGUAUGAGUUCAGUAUAUAUGUAUUUUCCUUUUAUUGUAGAAAGCCUCUAUAUGCUUAUGCUACAUAUAAUAAAUGAAUACAUUGAUUUCUUACCUUG
This is a long non-coding RNA of Scatophagus argus, 832 nucleotides long. RefSeq lists it as uncharacterized. The record is from RefSeq and is a predicted model, not a curated record. NCBI's taxonomy places the organism in Eukaryota, Metazoa, Chordata, Actinopteri, Scatophagidae. The transcript is spliced from 4 exons.